ACUCCUACGGGAGGCAGCAGUAGGGAAUAUUGGUCAAUGGGCGAAAGCCUGAACCAGCCAUGCCGCGUGUCAGAUGAAGGUCCUCUGGAUUGUAAAUGACUUUUCUACGGGAAGAAUGAGCCGUCUGCGGACGGAAGUUGACGGUACCGUAGGAAUAAGCACCGGCUAACUACGUGCCAGCAGCCGCGGUAAUACGUAGGGGUGCAAGCGUUGUCCGGAUUUACUGGGGUUUAAAGGGUACGUAGGCGGUUGUGCCAAGUCUGGGGUGAAAGUUUGCAGCUCAACUGUAAAGUUGCCUUGGAUACUGGUCGGCUAGAGUAGUGGAGCGGUGGCUGGAAUUUAUAGUGUAGCGGUGAAAUGCUUAGAUACUAUGAGGAACACCAAUUGCGAAGGCAGGUCACUGGUCACUAACUGACGCUGAGGUACGAAAGUGUGGGGAUCAAACAGGAUUAGAUACCCUGGUAGGAUAGCG
This 472-nucleotide ribosomal RNA is filed under the name uncultured bacterium. RNAcentral's name for it is "bacterial SSU rRNA". It matches the Rfam family "Bacterial small subunit ribosomal RNA", at positions 335 to 799 of the family's 1533-position model. The record is from RNAcentral.